RNAcentral lists this ribosomal RNA (1008 nucleotides) under Vibrio parahaemolyticus. RNAcentral describes it as "partial 23S ribosomal RNA". It matches the Rfam family "Bacterial large subunit ribosomal RNA", at positions 125 to 1188 of the family's 2925-position model. Lineage: Bacteria; Pseudomonadati; Pseudomonadota; Gammaproteobacteria; Vibrionales; Vibrionaceae. The record is from RNAcentral.
AACCCACGUGCAUAAGCACGUAUCCUUACCUGAAUACAUAGGGUAAGGAGGCGAACCGGGGGAACUGAAACAUCUAAGUACCCCGAGGAAAAGAAAUCAACCGAGAUUCCGAAAGUAGCGGCGAGCGAAAUUGGACUAGCCCUUAAGCUUUACACGCGUUAGACGAACGGUCUGGAAAGUCCGACGAUACAGGGUGAUAGUCCCGUAGUUGACGACGUGUGUUCAGUGAAAUCGAGUAGGGCGGGACACGUGAUAUCCUGUCUGAAUAUGGGGGGACCAUCCUCCAAGGCUAAAUACUACUGACUGACCGAUAGUGAACCAGUACCGUGAGGGAAAGGCGAAAAGAACCCCUGUGAGGGGAGUGAAAUAGAACCUGAAACCGUGUACGUACAAGCAGUAGGAGCAGGCUUUGUCCUGUGACUGCGUACCUUUUGUAUAAUGGGUCAGCGACUUAUAUUCAGUGGCAAGGUUAACCAUCUAGGGGAGCCGUAGGGAAACCGAGUCUUAACUGGGCGUUCAGUCUCUGGAUAUAGACCCGAAACCAGGUGAUCUAGCCAUGGGCAGGUUGAAGGUUGAGUAACAUCAACUGGAGGACCGAACCGACUAAUGUUGAAAAAUUAGCGGAUGACUUGUGGCUAGGGGUGAAAGGCCAAUCAAACCUGGAGAUAGCUGGUUCUCCCCGAAAGCUAUUUAGGUAGCGCCUCGGACGAAUACUACUGGGGGUAGAGCACUGUUAAGGCUAGGGGGUCAUCCCGACUUACCAACCCUUUGCAAACUCCGAAUACCAGUAAGUACUAUCCGGGAGACACACGGCGGGUGCUAACGUCCGUCGUGGAGAGGGAAACAACCCAGACCGCCAGCUAAGGUCCCAAAUUACUACUAAGUGGGAAACGAUGUGGGAAGGCUCAGACAGCCAGGAUGUUGGCUUAGAAGCAGCCAUCAUUUAAAGAAAGCGUAAUAGCUCACUGGUCGAGUCGGCCUGCGCGGAAGAUGUAACGGGGCUAAGUA